Molecule: long non-coding RNA, 855 nt
Organism: Bos taurus (domestic cattle)
Lineage: Eukaryota; Metazoa; Chordata; Mammalia; Artiodactyla; Bovidae
Source: Ensembl
AACCUUUCCUUUAGGAGAAAUUGCUGAGCUCUGCAGGAACUGUGAAUGGUGACUAUCUGGUAAUUCUAAGACUGAAAAGCAAGAGUGAAGGUAAGGACUACCAGGAGCUGGCCCCCUCCCCGACUUUGUCACCUGGGAACAGCCAAACUGUCGUGGCCACUUUCAGAGAAAUAAAGAAGGUGGUGCAGUGGUAAAGAAUCCACCUGCCAAGGCAGAAGAAACAGGAGACAGCCAGUUCAGUCUCUGGGUGAGGAAGAUUUCCUGGAAGAGAAGGAAAUGGCAACCCACUCCAGUAUUCUUGCCUGGAAAAUACCACGGACAGAGGAGUCUGCCAGGCUCCUGGGGUUGCAAAGAGUUGGACAUGAUUGAGCACACACAUAUUUUAAGAAAAACUUAAUAAAUGUUAAUGAUAUUGAUAUCUGAUCAUUUUAAAAGAAAUACACGGAAAUCAUAUGCCUUAAAAAGAUAAACAUCUUCCAGAGAAUAUUAUCAGGCUUGAUUUGUCUCUUCGGACCUCAAAAAGUAAAUUCACUCAGCUCUCAGAACUAAGGUUUAUUUCUGCUACAGGAGAAGAGGUUAUUUCAUUCUGUUAGACCAUUCAAUCAGUACAGCUUGCUGUAAACAGGAAAUAAUAUUUUAUUUAGCAUAGUAAGAUGAAAAUUCUAUUUGAGAGAAAUGACUUGUUGGGUCUUUGACAACACCUCAGUUUCCCUUUUCAUUUACCUCACAAGAAUGCUAUGGAAUUACUAUUUAGAUUUCUUUUUAGAAGUCCCAAAUGCAGGUCAUCUCUAUAUUUUCUUUUGAGUGCUACAACUAGGCUGUCCAGGGAAGCAGAGAUUUAUUCUUGUACAUCAG